RNAcentral lists this ribosomal RNA (118 nucleotides) under Gouania willdenowi (blunt-snouted clingfish). The record is from RNAcentral. Lineage: Eukaryota; Metazoa; Chordata; Actinopteri; Blenniiformes; Gobiesocidae.
UUUAGAGGCCACACCAGCCUGUCAUUGCCUGAUCCCGUUAGAUCUUGGAAGCUAAGCAGGUCUGGGCCUGGUUAGUAGUUGGAUGGGAGACCACUGAGAAUUCCAGGUGCCACAGUGG